CAUCACCAUCUACCUAGCCCUGCUGCCUGCUGUGGCUUUGUGCCUGGAGCCUACCUUCUAUUCUAAGUAAGAAUGAUGGAGCUUGGGAGAAUUCUCUCAAAUUGCCCUGUAAAUCUUCGCCAGCACACAACUGGUAACCUAGGAACUACAUCCGUGCUAUUUUCUGCACUCCUGGUUUCCUAUACUAAUUCUUGAACAGACAGCAGGAAGAUUUGCUGAGCACCUACUGUGUGCACUUUUCUAAUGGGACCGUACUGACUGUGCACUACGACAGCGGGGGAAACGCUUCCUGCCCUCAGGAGUCUGCAGUUGCCUCUUAAGCUCCUCCAGCUGCUGGGUGAGGGCCUGCUUGCCUUUGGUUAGCUGUGAAAUCAGAGACUCCUU
Long non-coding RNA from Chinchilla lanigera (long-tailed chinchilla), 384 nucleotides. RefSeq lists it as uncharacterized. The transcript is spliced from 3 exons. The record is from RefSeq and is a predicted model, not a curated record. NCBI's taxonomy places the organism in Eukaryota, Metazoa, Chordata, Mammalia, Rodentia, Chinchillidae.